GUAGAAGCUGGAAUACAGAGUUGAUUAACAAUACCUUCACUGAAGCAGAUGCUGAAAGAAUCCUCAAGAUCCCGCUAACACGAUCACCGCAUGAAGAUUUUCCUAUUUGGGGAGGGGAGAAGUCGGGUGAAUUUACGGUACGAAGUGCCUAUCAACUAUUACAGAGAUCGAUUGAUAGUUUUAGAGCUUAUGCUUUACAAAUCCUCUACAGAAAAUUUUACAAAACACUUUGGAGCCUGAAUAUACCAACAAAAAUUAAGAUCACAAUAUGGCGGCUAUCAUGGAACUAUCUGCCUACAAAGGUAAAUCUACAACACCAGAAAUUAGCAGUCAACACAAGGUGCCCCCGAUGUGGAGAAGAAGCUGAAAUAAUGAAUCACUUAUUCCGUGACUGUGCUGUUACAAGAGAGGUAUGGAAAACAUUAUCACUUCAGAACAUUAUGAUGUAUCAAAGCGAGGAUUUUGUACAGUGGCUCACCUGGGCGCUAGAGCAGUUAAACCCAAAUCAAAGUCGACUCUUUUGCUGUGCACUAUGGGCCAUAUGGGGAGACAGAAUCAAAAGUCUACAUGAAGGAAAAGUUAGUAAUGGAAUAGAAGUUGCAAACUUUGUUAAUAGCUACAUCAUUGAGUUAACUGGUCUUGAACAAAGAAACUCAGAAACAAUGAAAGGAAAUUAGAGAUGGAAACACCCACAGUGGGAAUCCAUAAAGAUUAAUUUUGAUGGUGUAUAUAAUCAGAUUCAGAACCGGUCAGCCUCAGGUGUUGUGGCCAGAGACUCGGAAGGAAAAAUUCUUUUAUCCUGCUCAGAAAUCCACAAUGGAAUUCCAUCUGCUUAUGCUGCUGAAGCAAUUGCCUGUCGGAAAGCAGUCCAAGUAGGAGUUGACCAUGGUUGGCAGGCACUCAUUUUUGAAGGAGAUUCCCUCGCAAUAAUCAAGAAAUGCAACAAAAAGGAUCAUGACAGAUCAAUGGUAGGGGCAUAUAUUUAUGAUAUACAACAGAAAAUACAAGAAGUAAAAAAUAUCAGAUUUCUUCACACACCAAGAUCUGCAAACAACCUUGCACAUAUCCUUGCAACAGAGACGCUAAGAAGAGGAGAGGAAUUUUACCUGGAAAUGGGCGUUCCUGAAUAUGCAGAGAACCAAGCACGGCAUGAUGAGCUGAGCGAACCAGGUUAGGGAAGCAUCGAGAGAUGGAGUUUGGAAGAGAGAAAGUUUUCAGAGCAAUAAAGAAACAGAAAUGAUCUGCUAG
This 1248-nucleotide long non-coding RNA is filed under the name Gossypium raimondii (Peruvian cotton). RNAcentral describes it as "long non-coding RNA (GRAI_LNC009754)". The record is from RNAcentral. Lineage: Eukaryota; Viridiplantae; Streptophyta; Magnoliopsida; Malvales; Malvaceae.